CCCUUAGAUGUUCUGGGCCGCACGCGUGCUACACUGAGUGGAUCAGCGGGUCAGGUUGCGCGAAAGUGUUUCCUAAUCUUUAAAUCCGCUCGUGAUGGGGAUUGACGGUUGCAAUUUUCCGUCAUGAACGAGGAAUACCUUGUAAGCGCGGGUCAUCAUCCCGCGCUGAAUACGUCCCUGCCCUUUGUACACACCGCCCGUCGCUCCUACCGAUUGAGUGGUCCGGUGAGGCUUUGGGAUCUGAGCGGAAAGAGCGUUUCGCUGUUUCUGCCCGGAAAACCCAGUCGAACCUUAUCAUUUAGAGGAAGGAGAAGUCGUAACA
This 322-nucleotide ribosomal RNA is filed under the name uncultured eukaryote. Its description in RNAcentral is "partial 18S ribosomal RNA". It matches the Rfam family "Eukaryotic small subunit ribosomal RNA", at positions 1470 to 1796 of the family's 1831-position model. The record is from RNAcentral.